RNAcentral lists this ribosomal RNA (393 nucleotides) under uncultured bacterium. RNAcentral's name for it is "partial 16S ribosomal RNA". It matches the Rfam family "Bacterial small subunit ribosomal RNA", at positions 523 to 918 of the family's 1533-position model. The record is from RNAcentral.
AUACGGAGGAUGCGAGCGUUAUCCGGAUUUAUUGGGUUUAAAGGGUGCGUAGGCUGUGCAUUAAGUCAGGGGUGAAAUGCCGUCGCUCAACGACGGAGCUGCCCUUGAUACUGGCGUGCUGGAGUACGGAUGCCGUUGGAGGAAUGAGUGGUGUAGCGGUGAAAUGCUUAGAUAUCACUCAGAACACCGAUUGCGAAGGCAUCUGACGAAUCCGUCACGAACGCUGAGCCAUGAAAGCGUGAGGAUAGAACAGUAUUAGAUACCCUGGUAUUCCUCGCCGUAAACGAUGAUGACUAAGCGUCGGCGAUAGUCAGCCGGGGGCCAAGCGAAAGCGAUAAGGCAUCAACCGGGGGAGUACGUCGGCAACGAGGAGACGCAGUGGAAGUGACGGGG